RNAcentral lists this ribosomal RNA (511 nucleotides) under uncultured bacterium. RNAcentral describes it as "bacterial SSU rRNA". It matches the Rfam family "Bacterial small subunit ribosomal RNA", at positions 34 to 518 of the family's 1533-position model. The record is from RNAcentral.
CGCUGGCGGCGUGCCUAAUACAUGUAAGUCGAACGGUCUUUCUAUGGAAGCUUGCUUCCACUGAGAAGAUAGUGGCGGACGGGUGAGUAACACGUGGGUAACCUGCCCAUAAGAGGGGGAUAACAUCCGGAAACGGGUGCUAAUACCGCAUAGUUUUCUUGAUCGCAUGAUUGAGAAAGGAAAGACGGCCUUUGUGCUGUCGCUUAUGGAUGGACCCGCGGCGUAUUAGUUAGUUGGUGAGGUAAUGGCUCACCAAGACGAUGAUACGUAGCCGACCUGAGAGGGUGAUCGGCCACAUUGGGACUGAGACACGGCCCAAACUCCUACGGGAGGCAGCAGUAGGGAAUCUUCCGCAAUGGACGAAAGUCUGACGGAGCAACGCCGCGUGAGUGAAGAAAGGUUUUCGGAUCGUAAAACUCUGUUGUCAGAGAAGAACAAGUUGGAGAGUAACUGCUCCAGCCUUGACGGUAUCUGACCAGAAAGCCACGGCUAACUACGUGCCAGCCGCCGC